Molecule: ribosomal RNA, 2910 nt
Filed under: Escherichia coli
Lineage: Bacteria; Pseudomonadati; Pseudomonadota; Gammaproteobacteria; Enterobacterales; Enterobacteriaceae
Description: 23S ribosomal RNA
Rfam family: Bacterial large subunit ribosomal RNA
Source: RNAcentral
GGUUAAGCGACUAAGCGUACACGGUGGAUGCCCCCGGCAGUCAGAGGCGAUGAAGGACGUGCUAAUCUGCGAUAAGCGUCGGUAAGGUGAUAUGAACCGUUAUAACCGGCGAUUUCCGAAUGGGGAAACCCAGUGUGUUUCGACACACUAUCAUUAACUGAAUCCAUAGGUUAAUGAGGGCGAACCGGGGGAACUGAAACAUCUAAGUACCCCGAGGAAAAGAAAUCAACCGAGAUUCCCCCCAGUAGCGGCGAGCGAACGGGGAGGAGCCCAGAGCCUGAAUCAGUGUGUGUGUUAGUGGAAGCGUCUGGAAAGGCGCGCGAUACAGGGUGACAGCCCCGUACACAAAAAUGCACAUGCUGUGAGCUCGAUGAGUAGGGCGGGACACGUGGUAUCCUGUCUGAAUAUGGGGGGACCAUCCUCCAAGGCUAAAUACUCCUGACUGACCGAUAGUGAACCAGUACCGUGAGGGAAAGGCGAAAAGAACCCCGGCGAGGGGAGUGAAAAAGAACCUGAAACCGUGUACGUACAAGCAGUGGGAGCACAGAGCAAUCUGUGUGACUGCGUACCUUUUGUAUAAUGGGUCAGCGACUUAUAUUCUGUAGCAAGGUUAACCGAAUAGGGGAGCCGAAGGGAAACCGAGUCUUAACUGGGCGUUAAGUUGCAGGGUAUAGACCCGAAACCCGGUGAUCUAGCCAUGGGCAGGUUGAAGGUUGGGUAACACUAACUGGAGGACCGAACCGACUAAUGUUGAAAAAUUAGCGGAUGACUUGUGGCUGGGGGUGAAAGGCCAAUCAAACCGGGAGAUAGCUGGUUCUCCCCGAAAGCUAUUUAGGUAGCGCCUCGUGAAUUCAUCUCCGGGGGUAGAGCACUGUUUCGGCAAGGGGGUCAUCCCGACUUACCAACCCGAUGCAAACUGCGAAUACCGGAGAAUGUUAUCACGGGAGACACACGGCGGGUGCUAACGUCCGUCGUGAAGAGGGAAACAACCCAGACCGCCAGCUAAGGUCCCAAAGUCAUGGUUAAGUGGGAAACGAUGUGGGAAGGCCCAGACAGCCAGGAUGUUGGCUUAGAAGCAGCCAUCAUUUAAAGAAAGCGUAAUAGCUCACUGGUCGAGUCGGCCUGCGCGGAAGAUGUAACGGGGCUAAACCAUGCACCGAAGCUGCGGCAGCGACACUGUGUGUUGUUGGGUAGGGGAGCGUUCUGUAAGCCUGUGAAGGUGUGCUGUGAGGCAUGCUGGAGGUAUCAGAAGUGCGAAUGCUGACAUAAGUAACGAUAAAGCGGGUGAAAAGCCCGCUCGCCGGAAGACCAAGGGUUCCUGUCCAACGUUAAUCGGGGCAGGGUGAGUCGACCCCUAAGGCGAGGCCGAAAGGCGUAGUCGAUGGGAAACAGGUUAAUAUUCCUGUACUUGGUGUUACUGCGAAGGGGGGGACGGAGAAGGCUAUGUUGGCCGGGCGACGGUUGUCCCGGUUUAAGCGUGUAGGCUGGUUUUCCAGGCAAAUCCGGAAAAUCAAGGCUGAGGCGUGAUGACGAGGCACUACGGUGCUGAAGCAACAAAUGCCCUGCUUCCAGGAAAAGCCUCUAAGCAUCAGGUAACAUCAAAUCGUACCCCAAACCGACACAGGUGGUCAGGUAGAGAAUACCAAGGCGCUUGAGAGAACUCGGGUGAAGGAACUAGGCAAAAUGGUGCCGUAACUUCGGGAGAAGGCACGCUGAUAUGUAGGUGAAGUCCCUCGCGGAUGGAGCUGAAAUCAGUCGAAGAUACCAGCUGGCUGCAACUGUUUAUUAAAAACACAGCACUGUGCAAACACGAAAGUGGACGUAUACGGUGUGACGCCUGCCCGGUGCCGGAAGGUUAAUUGAUGGGGUCAGCGCAAGCGAAGCUCUUGAUCGAAGCCCCGGUAAACGGCGGCCGUAACUAUAACGGUCCUAAGGUAGCGAAAUUCCUUGUCGGGUAAGUUCCGACCUGCACGAAUGGCGUAAUGAUGGCCAGGCUGUCUCCACCCGAGACUCAGUGAAAUUGAACUCGCUGUGAAGAUGCAGUGUACCCGCGGCAAGACGGAAAGACCCCGUGAACCUUUACUAUAGCUUGACACUGAACAUUGAGCCUUGAUGUGUAGGAUAGGUGGGAGGCUUUGAAGUGUGGACGCCAGUCUGCAUGGAGCCGACCUUGAAAUACCACCCUUUAAUGUUUGAUGUUCUAACGUGGACCCGUGAUCCGGGUUGCGGACAGUGUCUGGUGGGUAGUUUGACUGGGGCGGUCUCCUCCUAAAGAGUAACGGAGGAGCACGAAGGUUGGCUAAUCCUGGUCGGACAUCAGGAGGUUAGUGCAAUGGCAUAAGCCAGCUUGACUGCGAGCGUGACGGCGCGAGCAGGUGCGAAAGCAGGUCAUAGUGAUCCGGUGGUUCUGAAUGGAAGGGCCAUCGCUCAACGGAUAAAAAGGUACUCCGGGGAUAACAGGCUGAUACCGCCCAAGAGUUCAUAUCGACGGCGGUGUUUGGCACCUCGAUGUCGGCUCAUCACAUCCUGGGGCUGAAGUAGGUCCCAAGGGUAUGGCUGUUCGCCAUUUAAAGUGGUACGCGAGCUGGGUUUAGAACGUCGUGAGACAGUUCGGUCCCUAUCUGCCGUGGGCGCUGGAGAACUGAGGGGGGCUGCUCCUAGUACGAGAGGACCGGAGUGGACGCAUCACUGGUGUUCGGGUUGUCAUGCCAAUGGCACUGCCCGGUAGCUAAAUGCGGAAGAGAUAAGUGCUGAAAGCAUCUAAGCACGAAACUUGCCCCGAGAUGAGUUCUCCCUGACCCUUUAAGGGUCCUGAAGGAACGUUGAAGACGACGACGUUGAUAGGCCGGGUGUGUAAGCGCAGCGAUGCGUUGAGCUAACCGGUACUAAUGAACCGUGAGGCUUAACCUU